GAGACUUUACUUUCAGGGAUCACUUCUAUAGUUCAUUACUAGAGAAAUUUCCCUGAACGUCUAGAGCACCGGAAUCCAGGAGGAGGAGACAUACAGGGCGUUCUCUCCCGAGCGUGAAGCCAGCUCUUGGGGUUGCUCUGCUGCCACUGCCACCUGCAACUGAUGGUGGUUCUUUUCUCCCUUUGCGGGAGUAAGAGGGCGAGGACACAGUGUGAGUGGU
Small nucleolar RNA from Nycticebus coucang (slow loris), 220 nucleotides. RefSeq annotates it as small nucleolar RNA U3. NCBI's taxonomy places the organism in Eukaryota, Metazoa, Chordata, Mammalia, Primates, Lorisidae. The transcript has a single exon. The record is from RefSeq and is a predicted model, not a curated record.